CCCAAGGAACAGAAAGAAAGAAUGAAAGAAAAGAGUUUAUGGGGCAAAGACAAGCAGGAAACAAGUCAAGUUCUUCUGCCAAGCCAAUAAAGAGCAAGCACAAGGUCAAGGUCAAAGGUCAAGCAUGUUAAAGCGCCCAACCAGAUGAAGACCAAGGACUCUCCCCCCCGGGGGUCCUCGCGCCAUGACGACGGCGACCGCCAGGGCCGGAGGAGACGCUCCCGGAGCCGCAGCUACGAGAGACGGCGCUCGCCGAGCCGCGGCCACGGAGACGCCCGCGGCCAUGAGCGGCGCCCGCGCAGGUCCAACAGCCCCCGAGAGUCUCGCUCCGCUGGCCGCAACAGACACAGCCCGCCCCCUGACCAGGAGAGGUACAGAGGCCCCCCCCGGGACCACCACAGACCCCCCCAGGGCCCCGGCUCCCGGAGCCGCUCUGCUUCCCGCUCCCCCGCCAGACAGCGGCCCAAGGCCCGCAAGAGUCCGUCCCGCUCGGCCACUCCGCUGCAGGACUUCCACCCCUCCUCCGGGGGGCGCCAGAAGCAGAGCUCCCGGCGCUCCUACUCCCGCUCCCUGUCUCGCUCCCGCUCGCGCUCCCGGUCCUGGGCGGGGCGCGAGGCAGACGCCCGCUGACCCCCCAGUGUUUUUAGCCGUGUCUGUUGGCAGGGGGCCAGGUCGCUAG
RNAcentral lists this long non-coding RNA (679 nucleotides) under Gadus morhua (Atlantic cod). RNAcentral's name for it is "lncRNA (ENSGMOG00000023987.1)". Lineage: Eukaryota; Metazoa; Chordata; Actinopteri; Gadiformes; Gadidae. The record is from RNAcentral.